RNAcentral lists this ribosomal RNA (253 nucleotides) under uncultured bacterium. Its description in RNAcentral is "partial 16S ribosomal RNA". It matches the Rfam family "Bacterial small subunit ribosomal RNA", at positions 524 to 776 of the family's 1533-position model. The record is from RNAcentral.
UACGUAGGUGACGAGCGUUAUCCGGAAUUAUUGGGCGUAAAGCGCCCGCAGGCGGCUGUUCAAGUCUGACGUGAAAUCGCUCGGCUUAACUGGGCGGGGUCGUUGGAAACUGAAUAGCUUGAGGCAAGGAGAGGGGCGUGGAAUUCCCGGUGUAGUGGUGGAAUGCGUAGAUAUUGGGAGGAACACCAGUGGCGAAGGCGGUUACCUGGAGCUUUGCUGACGCUGAUGCGCGAAAGCGUGGGGAGCGAUCCGG